CCCCAUAGAGCCCCAUAGAGACCCCACACUGCCCCAUAGAGACCCCGCAGACCCCAUAGAGACCCCGCAGACCCCAUAGAGACCCCGCAGACGCCAUAAGCCCCCAUAGAAACCCAUGGAGACCCCACAGACCCCCAUAGAGACCCCUAUAGCCCCAUAGAGACCCCAUAGAGACCCAUAGAGACCCCACAGUGCCUCAUAGAAACCCCAUAGAGACCCCACAGAGCCCCAUAGAGCACCAUAAAGCCCCAUACAGACCCCAUAGAGACCCAUAGAUUCCCCACAUUGCCCCAUAGAAACCCCAUAGAGCCCCACAGAGACCCCAUAGAGCCCCAUAGAGACCCCACAGACCCCAUAGAGACCCCAUAGACCCCAUAGUGCCCCACAGACCCCCAUAGAAACUCAUGGAGACCCCAUAGAGCCCCAUAGAGACCCCACAGAGCCCCAUAGAGCCCCUAUAGAGACGCCACGGAGCCCCCAUAGAGACCCCACGGAGCCCCCAUAGACCCCCAUAGACCCCCAUAGAGCCCCAUAGAGACCCCAUAGAGCCCCAUAGAGACCCCACAGACCCCAUAGAGACCCCACGCAGCCCCCAUAGAGCCCCAUGGAGAUCCCAUAGACCCCCAUAGAGCCCCAUAGACCCCCAUAGAGCCCCGUAGACACCCAUAGAGACCCCACACUGCCCCAUAGAGACCCCACAGACCGCAUAGAGACCCAUGGAGACCCCAUAGAGACCUCACAUUGCCCCAUAGAGACCCCACAGACCCCAUAGAGCCCCUAUAGAGACCCCACGGAGCCCCCAUAGAGACCCCACGGAGCCCCCAUAGACCCCCAUAGAGCCCCAUAGAGACCCCACACUGCCCCAUAGAGACCCAUAGAGCCCCUAUAGAGACCCCACGGAGCCCCCAGAGAGACCGCACGGAGCCCCCAUAGACCCCCAUAGAGCCCCAUAGAGACCCC
Molecule: long non-coding RNA, 960 nt
Filed under: Gallus gallus (chicken)
Lineage: Eukaryota; Metazoa; Chordata; Aves; Galliformes; Phasianidae
Description: lncRNA (ENSGALG00010000128.1)
Source: RNAcentral